RNAcentral lists this long non-coding RNA (4965 nucleotides) under Musa acuminata (dwarf banana). Its description in RNAcentral is "long non-coding RNA (MACU_LNC003532)". Lineage: Eukaryota; Viridiplantae; Streptophyta; Magnoliopsida; Zingiberales; Musaceae. The record is from RNAcentral.
CGCCUAGAACCUGAGAACUGAGCGGUGGCACCGUCGGACUAGGCGGUGGCACCGCCAGUACACUGUCAGUGUCAGACACUGACAGGUGGUGGCACCGCCAGCCUCGGGAACCCAAGAGAAUUCAAAAUUUGGAGCCCAAAUUUGAAUCCUCUUGGGGCCUAUAAAUACCCCUCAAUUCUCAGCUGAGAACACAACCUUUGAGAAGCAAGAGAUUGAGAUAAAAGUCUUAGCAAAGUCUUUAGCAAGUUUUUGUUUUCAAUUGCUUGAGUGUUCACCUCCUUCUUUCUCUUUCAAAAUUUGUAAGAGAGUGAACCACUUGUAAAAGGUUGUAAGAGGGGUAUUUGUCCUUCCCCUUCAAAAUGAUUUGCUAGUGGAAGUUGGGAGCCUCAUCGAAGAAGGCUUCGUAAGUGGAUGUAGGUCGCAUGAUCGAACCACUAUAAAUCGGUUUGCGUUUAUCUUAUUGUCAUUUAUAUUACUGCAAACCAUCUUCACUUUGAUGCUCUACUUCUUUGUCUCCUUCUUACAUAUUCCUUCAAGUUAAAACGCAAUCGAAACGGUUUCAAACGAAACGUUGCUUUUAUCGUACGAAGUUUCUGAAAGUGUUUAAAUCGUCAAAAGUUUAUCGUACUUUACCGCUGCACUAAGUCACCCCCCUCUUAGUGCCACUCCGAUCCUAACAAAGGGUACCGUAUGGCUUAGUCAAAAUCAAUUAAGUCCAUGACAGAUUGGGUUUCGGAUUCAGGCAGGGAAGUGUGGUACAUUGAAUUUUACGAUCGGGGACCAAAUUGCCCCCUUAGUUCGAUAGGUCUCAAGUGCUCAUAGGAUGUCAACCCCACAUCGGGUGGGGGAAACCUUGAAGGGUGUCGGUGUUGGUAGUGGUUAAGUCAAUGAUCGCGGUUGAGUUGGUGGUGUAGCUUGUUGGGGUAACUAGGGCAAAAGUGGAACGAUGAUCUGUAUCAUGCUUGUUAGGGUUUGCACUUACUAGAUGAGAUUCCAUAACACAUCGACAAGGAUGAGAAUAUGGCUAGGGGUCAUCCUCGGGGGUGAGAGGCCUAAGUCAUUGAAUAAAUGCCAAUAUCAUAUCAAUGUUUGUGCCGAGGUAGAUGCAUCUAUAUGCGGAAAGGGUGAUUGCUGCUCCUAUUGAGUAAAAGUACUAUGAGUCGAAGGUAAAGUCUCUUCCCUCGAGCGUUUAUUGAAAAGGUCGAUGGGCGAGAAUUCAUAUAACAUCGAAUCCUCCUUCUAGCACCAAAACAAUGAGAGAAGAAAUCAUUAACAUCUUGGUUAGCUCGACGUGGUUUGAACUCGUAUGCACAGGAUUGUCCAAAGUGCCUCCGAGGUAAAAAUGUCAAGUUUUCAAAAUGUCACAUGUACGAAAAUUGAGGUCGAAAAAGAUUUUCCAAUCCGAUCCCUCCAAUACCCAAGUUAGUAACCUAAUGUGUAUAAGUGUGGACACUAAUAGUCAAAAAAACGAAAACCCACCUUUUUUAUGUUGGAGAUAAACUUUUAUAUCUAAUUAUAAAUAGAUAAAAUAUUUUAUAAAAUAUUAUACAAGACAAUCUACAAUUGCCUCCAACAAAUUUUCUUUUGUGACAUUUACUAUAAAUGACAUACUUUCUAUCAACUUUUAUCAUAAAUGAUCGAGAGAAUGAAGUCUAUACUCUCACAAUUACAUCUCUAUCAUUCGUCUAAAAUAAAUAGAAUACAUAUGUGCAAGACUUGCACGGAUUAAGCACAAACACAAUACACUACACAUACAAACGAUAGUUGACAUUAGGAAAAAAGAAACUACGGUUGCAAUAUAUGACACGAAUUCAAGAAUAUGGUUCUUAUGACAUGACUUUUUCUUUCAAUAUUUCAUAGUCAAGUAUAGAUAAUUUUCAUCAAACUAUUAACUUAUAUUUGGAUCCAACUCGAAUUGAUUUGAGGUUAGGUCAGAUAUUGUUAAUCAUUUUUUCUGGAUUCAGAAAUAUAUAAAACACAAACAAAUCAUAUGAAUGUUUAAAUUGCAUAAGCAGAGAAGAAAAUUAAGGGGAACAAAUCAUUGGGCAAAAAUUGCCUUCCGAAAAUAAUAUUCCUCAGAUCGGACUAGAAAAGAUUCCAAAUUCACCGCCUGGGUUUGAGUCUGCCUUGGGGAUCACCAAUCACAGAGAAGCACCGGCCCGCGCCGCCUCUCCCUACCAUUGGAACAGUCGAGCACUUGGGAUGGACCACAGCGUCGCGAUCGUGUUUCUGCCACGAGGCCGAGGCGCGGGACACCGGCCCGCGGUGGCCUUUCCUCCGGAACGGAUAGAAAUUCCAAGGGUUCCGUGGUCGCUGGGCCUUCUUCUGGUGCUGUUACUUGACAGGGAUGAACGUGCAGUACAAAAUUGAAAGAAAGAAAUAAGAGAGCACAGAAAUGCACCGUGUUAAUUCCUAGAAUUGCUGGAACUUUCUUCCAAGUCUGCUUCACAGAAAAACUCGAAUUCCACCUCUACCACAGAACAUGAUUGACCACAAGUCGUUCCACUCUGCAGAACCACCACAUUUUGAAUGAUCGACAGCCGUUCAUUCCAGUUGCCAACGAAACACUAAUUGUCAACAAACGGGAAGUCAUCUGCUACAAUCCUCUCAAAUAAGUAAAAGAGAAAUAAAGAGAAUAAAGGGCUUAAUAGAUUCAAUUGAUCUAUUUAAGGUGGCAUGCUGUCCAUAAUCAGAAGAGAGGAACAUACAAACCUUCCAUAGUCUCUGUUUCCAUGGCCUCCGGUGCUCCUGCAGAAUCGCUUGGAGGCCAAGUGAAGAAGAGAGCUUUCGUAACAUUCCUGGCAGGGGACGGCGACUAUGUGAAGGGAGUGGUAGGGCUGGCAAAAGGCCUGAGAAAGGUGAAGAGUGCUUACCCUUUGGUGGUGGCGGUGCUGCCCGAUGUGCCCGAGGCUCACCGCCGAUUGCUUCAAGCCCAGGGCUGCACUGUUCGGGAGAUCGAACCCGUUUACCCGCCUGAGAACCAAGUGCAGUUUGCCAUGGCUUAUUAUGUCAUCAACUACUCCAAGCUGCGGAUUUGGAAUGUAAGUGAGCCAAAACGAUACUUCUUUAGGUUGUCAUUCAUGUUCCUUUUUUCCUUUCUCUUCGGGUAUCUAUAUGGAGGAAGCUGAACCCUACAGAAAGUUACGCAAAUGAUGUCUAAUUAAUGAUGAUGACUCCUUGGUUGCUGCUAAUUGCAGUUUGUGGAGUACAGCAAGAUAAUAUAUUUAGAUGCAGAUAUCCAAGUGUAUGACAACAUCGAUCACCUGUUCGACAUGCCCGAUGGCUACUUCUAUGCAGUGAUGGACUGCUUCUGCGAGAAGACAUGGAGCCACUCUCGACAGUACUCAAUUGGCUAUUGCCAGCAGUGUCCGGACAAGGUGGCAUGGCCUGCUGAGAUGGGAUCCCCUCCUCCGUUGUACUUCAAUGCAGGGAUGUUUGUAUCUGAACCAGCUCGACCAACUUACGAUGGCCUUCUUGAGACUCUUAUGACAACACCUCCAACUCCCUUUGCGGAGCAGGUGAGUCCUCCAACUGGGUUAAAUUUUUUGGAGUUUGAUACAAAAUAUAGAACAGGAUUAUUUACAUAACUAAAAAAUUCUAGUAAGAUAAGGAGAUAAGUUAGUGGACCAGAUUAGAAGAACAUUCUCGCAAACAGAACUUUGAGUUGAAACUUGAAAGAUCAAGAACUAGACAUGCAAAUGAAACAAUCUGAUAGUCCAACCGUAACAAUAAUUAGAACAAAAACACAGUUCAUUUAGUUAUUCUACUUAAUUAAUUUCUACUUCUAGGUAAACACCUGAGAUAUUACAAAAUUAACCCACUCCAGGUAGGUAACAAAAUUAUGAACCAUGCAAAUCUGGAAACAGGUUAACACAUGCUUUCAUUAUGUAAGAUCCACACAAUCAUUAUCCUAUAACCAGCAUCUUGCUCCAGUCCCUAAAGAGAUAGGAGUCUUUCUAACCUUGGACAUAGGGAAGUACCGUUAAGUCAGCAAAACUAUACAUUUUUUCUUAUUCAACAACUACAUGUGGCAUAAAAAUUGACCAUAUAUUCUCUACAUCCUGCCUUAUCUCUUGCGACUGGUGCAAAUAUUCCUUACAGCUAAUGUUGUUUAUAGAGAUUAUGAAGCUAGGGAAUGUGACAAUUAUGACAAUGACAUCGGUGGUUUCCUUGCGUAGAGUUAGCAUCGACAGUUUUUCUUAUCUGACAAAUAUGAGGAUAACUGGAAUUCGAUUUAGUCUAUUGGAAAAUAUUAAGAACCAUGUAUUUUUCACUCUAUUUCUGACCUCAUUUUUGUAGGACUUCCUGAACAUGUAUUUCGAGAAAAUCUACAAGCCAAUUCCGCUCAUCUACAAUCUGGUUCUAGCCAUGCUAUGGCGACACCCUGAAAAUGUUGAGCUUGAAAAUGUCAAGGUGGUCCACUAUUGUGCCGCGGUAAGUGCUACAUUAGUCACUUAUCACAAGUACCAGCAUCAUAAUCCAACAUUCCACAAAUUAAUAUUGUAUUUAUCGACCUGCUGUUGCUUUCCAAUGAUGGUGAUAUAGGGUUCCAAGCCUUGGAGGUACACUGGAAAGGAAGCUAACAUGGACAGGGAGGAUAUUAAGAUGUUAGUAGCAAAAUGGUGGGGUAUUUACAAUGAUAAGUCUCUUGACUUUGCUGCAGAGGAUGCAGUCCCAGAAGGAGAGACCUGCUUACCUUCUUCGAUAAUGGUGGCCAUGUCAGAAAACAAUAUCAACUACAUCUCUGCACCCUCUGCUGCCUAAGACAGAAUAAGGGGAGGGAAACAAGAGCAACUAUGAAAGAUAUAAAGAAUAUGAUAUGAUUCUAUAAACACUCCACCUUUCAACACCUAUCAGUAGCUAACCAUAGCAUCCUCUUGAUCAUGAGGUUCCCUGUAGUUUUAUCCCUUGAUUAUAAAAUCUAUAGCAGCCUUAACCACUUAUUUUCCCAUUGUCCGUUUCUGA